AAGACCCGUGCCCACAGUUGCCAGCAUACCCUCCGGGGUGAUGGGCACACUGUGGGGACCGCCGCUGCUAAAGCGGAGGAAGGYGCGGGCUACGGUAGGUCAGUAUGCCCCGAAUCAUCCGGGCUACACGCGGGCUACAAUGGUUGGGACAAUGGGCACCUACACCGAGAGGUGAUGGUAAUCUCCUAAACCCAGCCUUAGUUCGGAUUGAGGGCUGCAACUCGCCCUCAUGAAGCCGGAAUCCGUAGUAAUCGCGUAUCAAUAUCACGCGGUGAAUAC
This 279-nucleotide ribosomal RNA is filed under the name uncultured archaeon. RNAcentral describes it as "partial 16S ribosomal RNA". It matches the Rfam family "Archaeal small subunit ribosomal RNA", at positions 1047 to 1324 of the family's 1478-position model. The record is from RNAcentral.